Molecule: ribosomal RNA, 446 nt
Filed under: uncultured bacterium
Lineage: Bacteria
Description: partial 16S ribosomal RNA
Rfam family: Bacterial small subunit ribosomal RNA
Source: RNAcentral
CCUACGGGUGGCAGCAGUCGAGAAUCAUUCACAAUGGGGGAAAGCCUGAUGGAGCGACGCCGCGUGGGGGAAUGAAGGUCUUCGGAUUGUAAACCCCUGUCAUGUGGGAGCAAAUGAAAAAGAUAGUACCACAAGAGGAAGAGACGGCAAACUCUGGGCCAGCAGCCGCGGUAAUACAGAGGUCUCAAGCGUUGUUCGGAAUCACUGGGCUUAAAGCGUGCGUAGGCUGUUUCGUAAGUCGUGUGUGAAAGGCGCGGGCUCAACCCGCGGACGGCCCAUGAUACUGCGAGACUAGAGUAAUGGAGAGGGAAGCGGAAUGCGCGGUGUAGCAGUGAAAUGCGUAGAUAUCGCGCGGAACACUCGUGGCGAAGGCGGGUUCCUGGACAUUAACUGACGCUGAGGCACGAAAGCCAGGGGAGCGAAAGGGAUUAGAUACCCCUGUAGUC